GGGAUUUGGCGGAAAGUAGUGGGAAGAUUGGCACUUGCCUUACAAGCAAGGGGUCGGUGGUUCAAAUCCAACCAUCGCCCACCA
This 84-nucleotide transfer RNA is filed under the name Clostridia bacterium. Its description in RNAcentral is "tRNA-Val". Lineage: Bacteria; Bacillati; Bacillota; Clostridia. The record is from RNAcentral.